GACGAACCGUGCGAACGUUAUUCGGAAUCACUGGGCUUAAAGCGUGUGUAGGCGGGCCGUUAAGUGUCUUGUGAAAUCCCCCGGCUCAACCGGGGAAUUGCUGGGCAUACUGGCGGUCUUGAGCAAUCUAGGGGCAGAUGGAACAAGUGGUGGAGCGGUGAAAUGCGUAGAUAUCACUUGGAACGCCAAAGGUGAAGACAGUCUGCUGGGGAUUUGCUGACGCUGAGACACGAAAGCCAGGGGAGCGAACGGG
RNAcentral lists this ribosomal RNA (253 nucleotides) under uncultured bacterium. Its description in RNAcentral is "partial 16S ribosomal RNA". It matches the Rfam family "Bacterial small subunit ribosomal RNA", at positions 524 to 776 of the family's 1533-position model. The record is from RNAcentral.